Molecule: long non-coding RNA, 454 nt
Organism: Delphinapterus leucas (beluga whale)
Lineage: Eukaryota; Metazoa; Chordata; Mammalia; Artiodactyla; Monodontidae
Source: RefSeq, a predicted model, not a curated record
AGCCUCCGGCCAGCAGCCAUGUGAGUGAGUUUAGGAGCAGAUCCUCCAGCCGUCACCAAUCCUUCAGAUGGGACGGCAGCCCUGGCUGACAUCUUGACUGCAACUGUGUGACAGACUCUGAACCAGGACCACCUUGAGGAAUUCCUGACCCUCAGAAACUGUGUCUCUGGAUCAACAUGAGCACUCUCCAAGGAGCUGUUCCCAAGAAGCCCAAUCUACAGUUGAAUCUGAUUUAGAAUGUGGCACAAAUGAGCUUGUGUGAGUUCCAGAGCCAGGCUUUCAGAGGCCCUGCGGCAUCUAAUCUCCCUCUCUUGGAAUGCUGCCCCGAGCCCAUCAUGUAUGGAAGUCAAUGCUGGGAGAUGAGAGUCCACAUGGAGGAGAACCAAAGUGCCCCAGCUGGCAUACAGCACUAGGCAUGUGAAUGAGGCUAUCUUGAACCUUCCAGCCCAGCUAA